GAGAGAUUAGCUCAUGUGGAUAGAGCGUCAGCCUCCGGAGCUGAAGGCGGCAGGUUCGAGUCCUGUAUCUCUCA
This 74-nucleotide transfer RNA is filed under the name Treponema sp. RNAcentral's name for it is "tRNA-Arg". It matches the Rfam family "tRNA". Rfam says of the family: Transfer RNA (tRNA) molecules are approximately 80 nucleotides in length. Their secondary structure includes four short double-helical elements and three loops (D, anti-codon, and T loops). The record is from RNAcentral. Lineage: Bacteria; Pseudomonadati; Spirochaetota; Spirochaetia; Treponematales; Treponemataceae.